GAGUAUCUAGUUUAAUUACCAUAAAACACUAGAAUGUCAAACUAGAAAUACCUUAGAGAAGUGAUCCUCU
RNAcentral lists this transfer RNA (70 nucleotides) under Nesophrosyne sp. 281 GMB-2012. RNAcentral's name for it is "tRNA-Asp". The record is from RNAcentral. Lineage: Eukaryota; Metazoa; Arthropoda; Insecta; Hemiptera; Cicadellidae.